AACGCUGGCGGUGUGCUUCACACAUGCAAGUCGAACGAGGUAGCAAUACCUAGUGGCGGACGGGUGAGUAACGCGUGGGAAUCUGCCUUGAGAUGGGGGAUAACGAGCCGAAAGGCUCGCUAAUACCGCAUAUGCCGAAAGGUGAAAGGAGUAAUCCGUCUUAAGAUGAGCCCGCGUCCAAUUAGCUAGUUGGUGGGGUAAAGGCCUACCAAGGCGACGAUCGGUAGCUGGUCUGAGAGGAUGAUCAGCCACAAUGGGACUGAGACACGGCCCAUACUCCUACGGGAGGCAGCAGUGGGGAAUUUUACGCAAUGGGGAAACCCUGACGUAGCGACACCGCGUGAGCGAAGAAGCCCUUUGGGGUGUAAAGCUCUGUCAGCUGGAACGAAAAAAUGACGGUACCAGCAGAGGAAGCAUCGGCUAACUACGUG
This 431-nucleotide ribosomal RNA is filed under the name uncultured bacterium. Its description in RNAcentral is "bacterial SSU rRNA". It matches the Rfam family "Bacterial small subunit ribosomal RNA", at positions 32 to 507 of the family's 1533-position model. The record is from RNAcentral.